UUUAUCCUACGGGGGGCAGCAGUGGGGGAUAUUGCACAAUGGGGGAAACCCUGAUGCAGCGACACCGCGUGGGUGAGGAAGCGCUUCGGCGUGUAAAGCCCUAUCAGUGGGGAAGAAAAAGGACGGUACCCAAAGAAGAAGCACCGGCUAAAUACGUGCCAGCAGCCGCGGUAAUACGUAGGGGGCAAGCGUUAUCCGGAUUUACUGGGUGUAAAGGGAGCGUAGACGGCAGAGCAAGUCUGAAGUGAAAGCCCGCGGCCCAACUGCGGGACUGCUUUGGAAACUGCCCGGCUAGAGCGCUGGAG
This 305-nucleotide ribosomal RNA is filed under the name uncultured bacterium. Its description in RNAcentral is "bacterial SSU rRNA". It matches the Rfam family "Bacterial small subunit ribosomal RNA", at positions 333 to 654 of the family's 1533-position model. The record is from RNAcentral.